UAGGGAAAUCUUCACAAACUCAUACAUUGAAGUGAAUGCUGCUGUGCAGGCUGUGAAUUUUUUCAAGAGGGUGAACAAUUCAUUGAUGAAUUGUAAUUAAAUGCUUGGCAAAGACGAUCUCGCGAGAGACAUUUCAAUCAUUGAUGUUCAAAAGCAAGCCAUCAUUAUUUAGAGUUCUCUCAGCAGAAAUUUGCAUCCAAAAUCGACGGUGAUUCAGGAGAUCUUAUUUAUUUCAAAGAUAGAAAGAAUAGUUGGCAACCAUUUGCGUAUGGUGUGUGCGAAAUGGGUGAAGAAUAUGACAUUUCUUUUGGUCCAGAGAAAAUUUAUAAAUACUUAAAACUGGAUAAAGUUUUAAAGGUGCUCGAUUUGAAAGAUUGUGAAUUCUUCUAAGAAACAGAUACUAAUAAUCACGAAAAUUCAUCUGAUGAAGAUGUCGACUAUUGAGCUCAUAAAGGAUGCUUUUUCAUUUCUCGAAAAUAUCCACACAACCUUUCAAACCUUUCAAAAAGGGCUGUAAAUAAUUUUUAGAUGUUUAGUAAUUUUAAGGAUUUGCAGAGCAAAAUUUUUUAUGCCAUUGUCUGUUUAAUGCGAAAACAUGUGAAAGAGGUAAUUUAUUCGAGAAAUAAAAAAUUUUAAUGCCUGCUA
Xenia sp. Carnegie-2017 is the source of this 645-nucleotide long non-coding RNA. RefSeq lists it as uncharacterized. NCBI's taxonomy places the organism in Eukaryota, Metazoa, Cnidaria, Anthozoa, Malacalcyonacea, Xeniidae. The transcript has 3 exons. The record is from RefSeq and is a predicted model, not a curated record.